AAAGUAUGACACUUUUGAUAGUAUUUAAAUGAAUAUAAUCUACAACAAUCUCUAGCAGUAAGCUCCACUAAUUAUAAAGGCACAACACAUUUCUUGAAAUAAACUUUUAAAACUCUAGUAAUGUAGUUUAAAUACUAUUUCCCUUACUGAGUUUAUAGAACUCACCCUAAUCCAUUUUUCCCAAGAUGAUGAAGAAAGUGAAGAAUCACUCCUUGAGCUGCCCAUUGAAGCUUUUUUGGAUCCAUUCGGGGACCAAUAGUGGACAUUUGAGUGCAUGUGGAUAAUUAUACU
This 291-nucleotide long non-coding RNA is filed under the name Carica papaya (papaya). Its description in RNAcentral is "long non-coding RNA (CPAP_LNC004292)". The record is from RNAcentral. Lineage: Eukaryota; Viridiplantae; Streptophyta; Magnoliopsida; Brassicales; Caricaceae.